This 253-nucleotide ribosomal RNA is filed under the name uncultured bacterium. Its description in RNAcentral is "partial 16S ribosomal RNA". It matches the Rfam family "Bacterial small subunit ribosomal RNA", at positions 524 to 776 of the family's 1533-position model. The record is from RNAcentral.
GACGAACCGUGCAAACGUUAUUCGGAAUCACUGGGCUAAAAGGGCGCGUAGGCGGGUCGUCAAGUCAGGGGUGAAAUCCCGCGGCUCAACCGCGGAAGUGCCUUUGAUACUGACGGCCUCGAGGGAGGUAGGGGCGUGUGGAACUUCCGGUGGAGCGGUGAAAUGCGUAGAUAUCGGAAGGAACGCCGGUGGCGAAAGCGACGCGCUGGACCUCUUCUGACGCUGAGGCGCGAAAGCCAGGGGAGCAAACGGG